Molecule: signal recognition particle RNA, 268 nt
Filed under: Candidatus Zixiibacteriota bacterium
Lineage: Bacteria; Pseudomonadati; Candidatus Zixiibacteriota
Description: signal recognition particle sRNA large type
Rfam family: Bacterial large signal recognition particle RNA
About the family: The signal recognition particle (SRP) is a universally conserved ribonucleoprotein involved in the co-translational targeting of proteins to membranes.
Source: RNAcentral
CCGUGCUAGAUGGGGAGUUAGCGGUGCCCUGUAACCCGGAAUCCGCUAUACCGGGGUCGAAUUCCCACCUGAGGUUCUUUUGUCUUCUGGUGGGAGGUUGGGUGUGUGACGUUGAAGAUCAGGUCCUGCGCAACCCAAGCUCGCCGAACCCCGCCAGGACCGGAAGGUAGCAACGGUAGGUGAAUCCUUGAGUGUGCCGCGGGAUAGCCUGGUUGGAGUUGGCUGCCCAAACUGCCUCAAAAGGCGGGAAUCGAGGGUGGGUGCACGG